RNAcentral lists this ribosomal RNA (438 nucleotides) under Triticum aestivum (bread wheat). RNAcentral describes it as "partial small subunit ribosomal RNA". Lineage: Eukaryota; Viridiplantae; Streptophyta; Magnoliopsida; Poales; Poaceae. The record is from RNAcentral.
AUGUCCGAUGUAGUGAAGUUGAGAUUUUACUAUGGUCCUGGUACUGUCCAAACAAAUGAGUUGGGAGCAGAUCUGAGUGAAUUUACUCACAUAGAGGUGGCAAUCAACGCACCACAAACAUGGUCUGUUAGUCAGUUGAAAGAAUGGAUUGCGGCAAGUUUAGGUCUUGAUACUGAAACACACACCGUCGGUGUUCAUGCAUUGUGGACACGGUCAAGUUCAAAAAUUUACUUUUAUUUGAGGCCAAUAGAGGGAGACUCCGAUUGGGUGCGGUGGUUACAAGGUUGUGAACGAAGGGGAUGCAAUCAUGUUGCUUUAGUGCUUCCCGUCGUGAAGGAGGUCACUGCACAUGAAGGGGAGGGUGGCUACGAAGGACAGAGCAGUCAUGUAGAAGGAGGAAAUGCUUAUGGUUACGACAAGGACAGAGCAGUCAGGUAG